RNA transcript from Malaclemys terrapin pileata, 1944 nucleotides. It is a transcript of the gene named SPARC-related modular calcium-binding protein 1-like, with no coding region annotated. Lineage: Eukaryota; Metazoa; Chordata; Testudines; Emydidae. The record is from RefSeq and is a predicted model, not a curated record. The transcript is spliced from 12 exons.
GCGGGGGGGAAUCGGAUUCGCUCCGGCUUUAUAAACCGGGAGCCCGGGGCUGGGGCGCUGCCUCUGGGAUUUGCUUUGCCCCGAGCCAUGUCCUGCCUCCGCUGGGGGCUUCUGCUGCUCCUGGGGGGCCCCGCGCUGGCGGCCCCCUUGCGAUGGGACAGAUCCCCGUUCAUCAUCUCGGAGAGCGAGCGGGGGCCGCCAUGCCCGGCCGAAUGCCCCCGCGAGCGCCACCGGCCCGUCUGCGCCUCCGACGGCAAACUCUACAAAUCCCAGUGUGUCUUCCAGCGCGCCCGGUGCCAGGAGCCCCUCCUCCAGGCACUGCCCCGCUUCCGCUGUGGGGGCGCCCACCACGACCCCACCAGCCUGAACCUCACCCGGUGCCAAGAGGAUCGUGCAGCCGCCCUGGCCCGGCGCCAGGCGGACUCCAUCUACGUCCCUGAGUGCAACGAGGACGGCUCCUUCUUGCAGGUGCAGUGCCACAGGCAGACGGGCUACUGCUGGUGCGCCACCACCGAGGGCAAACCCGUCAGCGGGACGUCCGUGCUCAACCAGACGCCCAACUGCACAGGUUCCUAUGUGGUGCGACCGUCCUGGCAGGACCCUAACUCAUCACGGAGAGAAGGCGGGAGACCCAGGCCCACCCCGGCAAGCCCCCCGCCCCACAAGCAGGAAGAGGGGACCUCGCUGCCGUUCCUCAUACCCAUCAUCCUCCCCGACUUCAAGCCCAAUCGCACGGUGAAGCGGAUUCAAGAGUUCCCUCCGUCCUGCGAGCAGGAGCGGCUGGAGGCCCUCGAGGAAAUUCAGCAGCGUCAGCAGGAGGGGACCUUCGUCCCAGAGUGCGAGGGAGACGGCACCUACAAACCCGUCCAGUGCCACCAGGCCACGGGCUACUGCUGGUGCGUGCAGGCCGACACCGGCCGGCCCGUCCCCGGCACCUCCACCAGGAACUUCCCGCCAGACUGCGAGUCUGAUGUUGCGGCCAAGAGCGCGGAGAUGGGCUCUCUCUUCCGGGACAGGGCGCUGCCAGGCUGCCCGGGUCCCAAGAAGGCAGAGUUCCUGUCCAAUCUGAUGAAGGCCUUGACGUCCGACAUGACCCAGUCCCGGCUGAUGCCCAUCACGCAUAGGAGGCUGUCGGAUCGCACGCCGGGCCCCAGCCUGGAGGAGCGGGCGGCGCGCUGGCAUUUCGUGCGCCUGGACAAGGACUUCAGCGACGGGCUGAGCGAGCGGGAGCUGCGGCCCCUCAAGCUCUACGUGAAGCAGCACGCGCGGCCCAAGCGCUGCGCCCGCAAGUUCCUGGAGUACUGCGACCUGGACGCCAACCGGCUCGUCUCCCUGCCGGAGCUCAGGGCCUGCCUGGGACUCAGCUAGCACUGGGUGUGCGUGAGCCCCCCGCUCCGGGGGGUUGGCAGCUGGCUUUGGAUUAGGUGGCAGCAGAGCCCCUGGGUUGCGUCUCCUUGAAGAGAGGCGCGCCCUGCUUUGCCCUUCCCACCCCCAGGGGGCGCUGCCUCGCCCAGCACUGCAUUCCCACCUCUGAUGGCAGACGAUUUGCACUGUGAACUGUAGAAUGUGGAUUUUAUUUUUAACUCCCUGGCGCUGAAGAAAGUCGGACGGACCUUUUAGAAAGAAGGCGGGCGGUCGAUCUAAGGGAUGUGGACGUGCCGGGCCAUUGAUUUGCACCUGGGGGACUCCGCUGCUGUUCAGCCCUGGUUUUCCUCUCUUCUGUAGAUAAGAGAAUCCUGCAAAAUGCAAAGUGCCGUUAGGGGUUCUUACUUUAUUUAACCCCACCUAAUCUUUGCUUAUUUUUACUAUCGGGGGGGUUUAAAAUUGGCUCCGACUACUUUAUAAUCCCUCCACUUCCUUAUAAAGCAGAAACUGGUAAGAAAAACAACAACCCAACAAUCCUGUAAUCUGUGUCCUGAAUCAAUAAAUUAUAGAAGUAUCGUG